AUUGAACGCUGGCGGAAUGCUUUACACAUGCAAGUCGAACGGCAGCACGGACUUCGGUCUGGUGGCGAGUGGCGAACGGGUGAGUAAUGUAUCGGAACGUGCCCAGUCGUGGGGGAUAACGUAGUGAAAAUUACGCUAAUACCGCAUACGAUCUAUGGAUGAAAGCGGGGGAUCGCAAGACCUCGCGCGAUUGGAGCGGCCGAUAUCAGAUUAGGUAGUUGGGGGGGUAAAGGCCCACCAAGCCAACGAUCUGUAGCUGGUCUGAGAGGGCGACCAGCCACACUGGAACUGAGACACGGUCCAGACUCCUACGGGAGGCAGCAGUGGGGAAUUUUGGACAAUGGGCGAAAGCCUGAUCCAGCCAUUCCGCGUACAGGAUGAAGGCCCUCGGGUUGUAAACUGCUUUUGUACAGAACGAAAAGGUUUCUACUAAUACUAGGAGCUCAUGACGGUACUGUAAGAAUAAGCACCGGCUAACUACGUGCCAGCCGCCGCGGUAA
RNAcentral lists this ribosomal RNA (500 nucleotides) under uncultured bacterium. Its description in RNAcentral is "partial 16S ribosomal RNA". It matches the Rfam family "Bacterial small subunit ribosomal RNA", at positions 30 to 523 of the family's 1533-position model. The record is from RNAcentral.